AACCUAGCACACCUGCGGUGUGUACCUGCGGAAGGAUCAUUACAGAGUUGCAAAACUCCCUAAACCAUUGUGAACGUUACCUAAACCGUUGCUUCGGCGGGCGGCGCGCCCUCGCGCGCGCCCCUGGGCCCCACCGCGGGCGCCCGCCGGAGGUCACCAAACUCUUGAUAUUAAUUGGCCUCUCUGAGUCUUCUGUACUGAAUAAGUCAAAACUUUUAACAAUGGAUCUCAGAUCGGAAG
RNAcentral lists this unclassified non-coding RNA (240 nucleotides) under soil metagenome. Its description in RNAcentral is "partial contains 5.8S ribosomal RNA, internal transcribed spacer 2, and large subunit ribosomal RNA". The record is from RNAcentral.